GGGUUGUGAGGUUAAGCGACUAAGCGUACACGGUGGAUGCCCUGGCAGUCAGAGGCGAUGAAGGACGUGCUAAUCUGCGAUAAGCGCCGGUAAGGUGAUAUGAACCGUUAUAACCGGCGAUUUCCGAAUGGGGAAACCCAGUGUGAUUCGUCACACUAUCAUUAACUGAAUCCAUAGGUUAAUGAGGCGAACCGGGGGAACUGAAACAUCUAAGUACCCCGAGGAAAAGAAAUCAACCGAGAUUCCCCCAGUAGCGGCGAGCGAACGGGGAGGAGCCCAGAGCCUGAAUCAGCAUGUGUGUUAGUGGAAGCGUCUGGAAAGACGCGCGAUACAGGGUGACAGCCCCGUACACAAAAGCGCAUGUGCUGUGAGCUCGAUGAGUAGGGCGGGACACGUGGUAUCCUGUCUGAAUAUGGGGGGACCAUCCUCCAAGGCUAAAUACUCCUGACUGACCGAUAGUGAACCAGUACCGUGAGGGAAAGGCGAAAAGAACCCCGGCGAGGGGAGUGAAAAAGAACCUGAAACCGUGUACGUACAAGCAGUGGGAGCACCCUUCGGGGUGUGACUGCGUACCUUUUGUAUAAUGGGUCAGCGACUUAUAUUCUGUAGCAAGGUUAACCGAAUAGGGGAGCCGGAGGGAAACCGAGUCUUAACCGGGCGUUAAGUUGCAGGGUAUAGACCCGAAACCCGGUGAUCUAGCCAUGGGCAGGUUGAAGGUUGGGUAACACUAACUGGAGGACCGAACCGACUAAUGUUGAAAAAUUAGCGGAUGACCUGUGGCUGGGGGUGAAAGGCCAAUCAAACCGGGAGAUAGCUGGUUCUCCCCGAAAGCUAUUUAGGUAGCGCCUCGUGAAUUCAUCUCCGGGGGUAGAGCACUGUUUCGGCUAGGGGGCCAUCCCGGCUUACCAACCCGAUGCAAACUGCGAAUACCGGAGAAUGUUAUCACGGGAGACACACGGCGGGUGCUAACGUCCGUCGUGAAGAGGGAAACAACCCAGACCGCCAGCUAAGGUCCCAAAGUCAUGGUUAAGUGGGAAACGAUGUGGGAAGGCCCAGACAGCCAGGAUGUUGGCUUAGAAGCAGCCAUCAUUUAAAGAAAGCGUAAUAGCUCACUGGUCGAGUCGGCCUGCGCGGAAGAUGUAACGGGGCUAAACCAUGCACCGAAGCUGCGGCAGCGACACUGUGUGUUGUUGGGUAGGGGAGCGUUCUGUAAGCCUGCGAAGGUGGCCUGUGAGGGUUGCUGGAGGUAUCAGAAGUGCGAAUGCUGACAUAAGUAACGAUAAAGCGGGUGAAAAGCCCGCUCGCCGGAAGACCAAGGGUUCCUGUCCAACGUUAAUCGGGGCAGGGUGAGUCGACCCCUAAGGCGAGGCCGAAAGGCGUAGUCGAUGGGAAACGGGUUAAUAUUCCCGUACUUGGUGUUACUGCGAAGGGGGGACGGAGAAGGCUAUGUUGGCCGGGCGACGGUUGUCCCGGUUUAAGCGUGUAGGUGUGUGUUCCAGGUAAAUCCGGUUCACUUUAACACUGAGGCGUGAUGACGAGGCACUACGGUGCUGAAGCAACAAAUGCCCUGCUUCCAGGAAAAGCCUCUAAGCAUCAGGUAACAUCAAAUCGUACCCCAAACCGACACAGGUGGUCAGGUAGAGAAUACCAAGGCGCUUGAGAGAACUCGGGUGAAGGAACUAGGCAAAAUGGUGCCGUAACUUCGGGAGAAGGCACGCUGACACGUAGGUGAAGUGAUUUACUCACGGAGCUGAAGUCAGUCGAAGAUACCAGCUGGCUGCAACUGUUUAUUAAAAACACAGCACUGUGCAAACACGAAAGUGGACGUAUACGGUGUGACGCCUGCCCGGUGCCGGAAGGUUAAUUGAUGGGGUCAGCGCAAGCGAAGCUCCUGAUCGAAGCCCCGGUAAACGGCGGCCGUAACUAUAACGGUCCUAAGGUAGCGAAAUUCCUUGUCGGGUAAGUUCCGACCUGCACGAAUGGCGUAAUGAUGGCCAGGCUGUCUCCACCCGAGACUCAGUGAAAUUGAACUCGCUGUGAAGAUGCAGUGUACCCGCGGCAAGACGGAAAGACCCCGUGAACCUUUACUAUAGCUUGACACUGAACAUUGAGCCUUGAUGUGUAGGAUAGGUGGGAGGCUUUGAAGUGUGGACGCCAGUCUGCAUGGAGCCGACCUUGAAAUACCACCCUUUAAUGUUUGAUGUUCUAACGUGGACCCGUGAUCCGGGUUGCGGACAGUGUCUGGUGGGUAGUUUGACUGGGGCGGUCUCCUCCUAAAGAGUAACGGAGGAGCACGAAGGUUGGCUAAUCCUGGUCGGACAUCAGGAGGUUAGUGCAAUGGCAUAAGCCAGCUUGACUGCGAGCGUGACGGCGCGAGCAGGUGCGAAAGCAGGUCAUAGUGAUCCGGUGGUUCUGAAUGGAAGGGCCAUCGCUCAACGGAUAAAAGGUACUCCGGGGAUAACAGGCUGAUACCGCCCAAGAGUUCAUAUCGACGGCGGUGUUUGGCACCUCGAUGUCGGCUCAUCACAUCCUGGGGCUGAAGUAGGUCCCAAGGGUAUGGCUGUUCGCCAUUUAAAGUGGUACGCGAGCUGGGUUUAGAACGUCGUGAGACAGUUCGGUCCCUAUCUGCCGUGGGCGCUGGAGAACUGAGGGGGGCUGCUCCUAGUACGAGAGGACCGGAGUGGACGCAUCACUGGUGUUCGGGUUGUCAUGCCAAUGGCACUGCCCGGUAGCUAAAUGCGGAAGAGAUAAGUGCUGAAAGCAUCUAAGCACGAAACUUGCCCCGAGAUGAGUUCUCCCUGAGACUUAGAGUCUCCUGAAGGAACGUUGAAGACGACGACGUUGAUAGGCCGGGUGUGUAAGCGCAGCGAUGCGUUGAGCUAACCGGUACUAAUGAACCGUGAGGCUUAACCUUACAACGCCGAAG
Molecule: ribosomal RNA, 2926 nt
Filed under: Salmonella enterica subsp. enterica serovar Wandsworth str. SA20092095
Lineage: Bacteria; Pseudomonadati; Pseudomonadota; Gammaproteobacteria; Enterobacterales; Enterobacteriaceae
Description: bacterial LSU rRNA
Rfam family: Bacterial large subunit ribosomal RNA
Source: RNAcentral